UACUUUCACACUUGCGGCAGAGGAUUCCGGCAGGCAGCUAGUUUCACACUUCCGUCGCUGGAACUGCCUGCCGUAUCCGGAAAAACGUAUGACAACUGACGGCAUUUGUAAGACUGAUCAGGAUUCUGAUCAGUCAGAAAAAUGCAUUGAAAUGCCGGAUCCGUCUUUCCGGUGUCAUUCGG
Long non-coding RNA from Bufo bufo (common toad), 182 nucleotides. RefSeq lists it as uncharacterized. The record is from RefSeq and is a predicted model, not a curated record. The transcript is spliced from 2 exons. Lineage: Eukaryota; Metazoa; Chordata; Amphibia; Anura; Bufonidae.